GAAGAUAUAGAUAUAAGAUAGAAGAUAGAAGAUAAGACAAGAUAAGCAAUACCUUUUCUAAAAGAAAAUAUUCCUGAAAUCUGGGAAAUUCUGCAGUGUUAGUUUUAAAAGCAAAUAUUUCUCAAUGCAAGCUCAUCCACCCGUCCUGGAAAGUGUACAUCCUCUGACAUGAUGUCUUGUGAUUUCUCGAUGCGCUUAGAUAAUGACUGACCUGACAGCACCCUGCAGGCACAAGAUUUUACCUUGACUGGGAUGAGUUGCCAUCACGCACUGUUAGUGAGAGAAAAUCAGAGAACACCAGGCCUGCUGGUACGGACACAGCUGGCACAGGUCAAAUCCAGGCACCAUGGAUUUCAUAAGUGCAAGAACUGAUCUCUGUAAGCAGUGAAAAGAAGUGCCUGGAGCUGGAAAAGGAGUUCAGGUUCAGGGCUGGGCAGUGUUUUUAAUUUAGUUUUGUGGGGGGGGUUUUUUGUUGUUAUUUUUAAGAGAGUAGAAUCAAUGGAACUGUAUUUCAUUUUUUCAGAAAGUGGAAACUGCAGUAAGCAAUGUCCCACUUGAAGAAGAUGGUUUUGGAAAUGUAAGAUGAAGAUGUGUGGACCAAGUGAUGUUUAUUGGUUACUAAUUAACCAAUUUGGGCAGAGUUUUGAAAGGUGGUUUCAAGUUUAGAAGCGUAAAUAGCUAAUCUGUGCCAUACCUUUCUUUUGUCUUUCUUUACAGUUUAGAGCCCUUUGUAAUAUGUGAUGAAACCUGCAGCACCCUUCCUUACCAUGAAUGCAGAUCAGCAGACCGUGACAGUUGUGGACUGUGCAGCAAGAGGUGAGUCCUACAGGCUGCUCCCUGCCAGCGCUCUUCUCUGCUCAGCACCGAAAGGAAAAGAACAGUGUGUGAAAUUCUCUGAAACAUCUUCAGCUUUGCCUUCCAAAGAUUCACAAGAGAUUCAGGCAGAGUGACAGUGAAAAAUAUUGAUGUAUCAAUAGCCUGGGACCCUGCUUGCUCUGUUGCCCAAAGCAUGAGAGAUCCCAACAGGAUGCUCCCCUGCUCUUAGUCCAG
RNAcentral lists this long non-coding RNA (1050 nucleotides) under Phasianus colchicus (ring-necked pheasant). RNAcentral describes it as "lncRNA (ENSPCLG00000008584.1)". The record is from RNAcentral. Lineage: Eukaryota; Metazoa; Chordata; Aves; Galliformes; Phasianidae.